CAGCCGCCGCGGUAAUACGGAGGGUGCAAGCGUUACUCGGAAUCACUGGGCGUAAAGCGCGCGCAGGCGGCCUUUUAAGUUGGAUGUGAAAGCCUAUGGCUCAACCAUAGAACUGCAUCCAAAACUAUCAGGCUAGAGUGUGGGAGAGGAAGAUGGAAUUAGUUGUGUAGGGGUAAAAUCCGUAGAGAUAACUAGGAAUACCAAAAGCGAAGGCAAUCUUCUGGAACAUUACUGACGCUGAGGCGCGAAAGCGUGGGGAGCAAACAGGAUUAGAUACCCUGGUAGUCCACGCCCUAAACGAUGAAUGUUAGUCGUCGGGUAGCUAGUCUAUUCGGUGAUGCAGCUAACGCAUUAAACAUUCCGCCUGGGGAGUACGGUCGCAAGAUUAAAACUCAAAGGAAUAGACGGGGACCCGCACAAGUGGUGGAGCAUGUGGUUUAAUUCGAAGAUACGCGAAGAACCUUACCUAGCCUUGACAUAUUUUAGAACACUUUAGAGAUAGUGUGGUGCCUUCGGGAGCUAAUAUACAGGUGCUGCACGGCUGUCGUCAGCUCGUGUCGUGAGAUGUUGGGUUAAGUCCCGCAACGAGCGCAACCCUCGUCACUAGUUACUAACGGUUCGGCCGAGGACUCUAGUGAGACUGCCUUCGUAAGGAGGAGGAAGGUGUGGAUGACGUCAAGUC
RNAcentral lists this ribosomal RNA (682 nucleotides) under uncultured Campylobacterota bacterium. Its description in RNAcentral is "bacterial SSU rRNA". It matches the Rfam family "Bacterial small subunit ribosomal RNA", at positions 509 to 1191 of the family's 1533-position model. The record is from RNAcentral. Lineage: Bacteria; Pseudomonadati; Campylobacterota.